Molecule: long non-coding RNA, 1378 nt
Organism: Cyprinus carpio carpio
Lineage: Eukaryota; Metazoa; Chordata; Actinopteri; Cypriniformes; Cyprinidae
Source: Ensembl
AGAACAGAAGUGACUCGUAAGGGCAAAAAAAAAAAAAAAAAUAGUCAUUUAUACUUUUCCCCCAAUUCCUUUCCAACUGUGGUACUUUCAGUAUCCAGAUCAGCCCAACGUAGCAGCAUACUUGUAGGUGUUUGAGAGCCGUGGUGCAGUGAAAAGCCAGUGUGAGGGCUGGUGAAACAGUGGGCUGACAUGCCCGGGAGCAGUGCCAGGGCGCUGUUGGUGCUGCCCGUUUGGGCUCAUGCUGUACAAGCUGUGUGAGCAUGGCCCAACUGGCUGCUGGGAAUGCCUCAGCGACAGCCCUGGACUACUGUACCAGCAUCCAGACGAACACACUGCUCUUGGCACAGAGAGAAAGAAACCAGAUGCUCCCCCUUCCAGCCGGGAAUGUAGGAAAAUCUGUUUGCGUGGAGAUUAAUGAUUUGUUUACAGAAUAUUUUGAGAGACAUAUAAUCAAUAUAAUCUCUGUGUGAUUAGAUUUCUUUUAUUUCAGCCCCAUAUACAAAUAUACAGGUCCAUAGAUAUAUGGACACUGGCACAAUUUUUAUUAUUUUAACUGCUGACCAAAACAUAUUCAAGUUAUAUAACGAAUAUCGUCUUAAAGUGCAUGCUCUAGGCUUUAAUUUGAGGGUAUUCUCAUCACAAUCAGAGAAAAGUUUAAGGAAUUACAGCUCUUUAAUAUGUACCUCCCCCCUUUUCCAAGGGACCAUAAGUAAUUGGACAGUUGACUCAAAAGCUGUUUCAUGGACAGGCGUGGGCUAUUCCUUCAUUAUUUCUACAUAAACUAAGCAGGUAAAAGGUCUGGAGUUGAUUUUAAGUGUCAUUUGAAUUUGAAAGCUGUUACUGUAAACCCACAUCAUGCGUGGCCAUAUCAACCGUUUGGUACAUUCUAAGAAAAAAAGAACACUGGUGAGCCCAGCAACAUAAAAAAGCCUGGACGUCCAAGGACAACAGUGGAUGAUCGAAGGAUCCUCUCUAUGGUAAAGAAAAACCCUUUCACAAUAUCCAGCCAAGAGAAGAACACUCUCCAGGAGGUUGGUGUGUCACUGUUACAGUCUACAAUCAAGAGAAGAUUUCAUGAGGGCAAAUACAGAGGGUUCACCACAAAUAAUUGCAAAAAAGUGCACUGUACUGCCUCGUUUUUUUGGGCUAACCUUGGAGGCUUCCCCUAAGGAGAAGGGCUCUGCUUAUACUCUAAUACGUUGCCAUGGCAACCUGAGACCCUGAAUGACAGCAUCAUUCAAAAAAUUGCAAUCAACACAUUCUAUACAGACAGAUAGUUCAAGUACAGUGACUACACAAACAAUCCUCUCCUUAAAACCACUCUGUCUAGAAAGGCCAGCUUGCCAAGGACUUGUGUAUAAUCCUUCUUCCCAGUGAG